UACGUAGGGUGCAAGCGUUAAUCGGAAUUACUGGGCGUAAAGCGUGCGCAGGCGGUGAUGUAAGACAGUUGUGAAAUCCCCGGGCUCAACCUGGGAACUGCAUCUGUGACUGCAUCGCUGGAGUGCGGCAGAGGGGGAUGGAAUUCCGCGUGUAGCAGUGAAAUGCGUAGAUAUGCGGAGGAACACCGAUGGCGAAGGCGAUCCCCUGGGCCUGCACUGACGCUCAUGCACGAAAGCGUGGGGAGCAAACAGG
This 253-nucleotide ribosomal RNA is filed under the name uncultured bacterium. RNAcentral's name for it is "partial 16S ribosomal RNA". It matches the Rfam family "Bacterial small subunit ribosomal RNA", at positions 524 to 776 of the family's 1533-position model. The record is from RNAcentral.